AAAAAAAGGAACUUCUAUGAGCAAAGCCACAGAGGAGAUGAUGGCUGGGACCUGCUCAGGGGCUGGGGCAGUGCCACUCAGUCGGUGCAUCCAAUGUGUGUGGUUUGGUGCCAGAUCUUAGCUUGGGAUGCAGAGAUGAGGAGUUUGGAGCCUUUAAACCGGUUUCUAAAAAGAGCGACGUCCUUCGAUGAGGAUUCCCUCAAUGGUGGUGACAGGAAGGAAAUUGGAUGUGGAAUGUGGAAAGGUGGAAACCUCUACCUUGAACAGGUUGAUGUUGUCGAUCUGGCUCUGGAAGAGAAAGUCGUUGAUGGUCUUCAGCUCCGUCCCUGAGAACAAACACAUGAAGGGCCUUGGGAGCUUCACCCUAAGCCUCAGGUUUCAGUCCCAGGGUUAAGCUCGGAAGUGGCUCAGAUCAGCUCUGGGCCCUCUGAGGGCAACUCUCUUACC
Molecule: long non-coding RNA, 447 nt
Filed under: Homo sapiens (human)
Lineage: Eukaryota; Metazoa; Chordata; Mammalia; Primates; Hominidae
Description: HSALNT0187365
Source: RNAcentral